This 253-nucleotide ribosomal RNA is filed under the name uncultured bacterium. RNAcentral's name for it is "partial 16S ribosomal RNA". It matches the Rfam family "Bacterial small subunit ribosomal RNA", at positions 524 to 776 of the family's 1533-position model. The record is from RNAcentral.
UACGAAGGGGGCGAGCGUUGUUCGGAUUUACUGGGCGUAAAGGGCGCGUAGGCGGCGCGAGAAGUCGAGUGUGAAAGCCCCGGGCUCAACCUGGGAAUUGCGCUCGAUACUCUAGUGCUUGAGUUCGGGAGAGGAGCGUGGAAUUCCCAGUGUAGAGGUGAAAUUCGUAGAUAUUGGGAAGAACACCGGUGGCGAAGGCGGCGCUCUGGACCGAGACUGACGCUGAGGCGCGAAAGCUAGGGGAGCAAACAGG